This 148-nucleotide small RNA is filed under the name Macaca mulatta (Rhesus monkey). RNAcentral describes it as "Metazoan signal recognition particle RNA (ENSMMUG00000056401.1)". It matches the Rfam family "Metazoan signal recognition particle RNA". Rfam says of the family: The signal recognition particle (SRP) is a universally conserved ribonucleoprotein. It is involved in the co-translational targeting of proteins to membranes. Lineage: Eukaryota; Metazoa; Chordata; Mammalia; Primates; Cercopithecidae. The record is from Rfam by way of RNAcentral.
GCUGGGCGUGGGGGCGGGCGCCUGUAGUCCCAGCUACUCGGGAGGCUGAGGCAGGAGAAUUGCUUGAACCCAGGAGGCGGAGGUGGCAGUGAGCCGAGAUUACGCCACCGCACUCCAGCCUGGGUGACAGAGCAAGACUCUGCCUCAA